Molecule: microRNA precursor, 92 nt
Filed under: Podarcis lilfordi (Lilford's wall lizard)
Lineage: Eukaryota; Metazoa; Chordata; Lepidosauria; Squamata; Lacertidae
Source: RNAcentral
UCCAGCUGUUUUGGGACUACAGUUCCCAUCAUCGCUGAUCACUGGUCCUGUUAGAUAGAGAUGGUGGGAGUUGUUGUCCCAAAACAGCUGGA